AGCUCCAAUAGCGUAUAUUAAAGUUGUUGCGGUUAAAAGCUCGUAGUUGGAUUUCUGUUGAGGGCGGCCGGUCCGCACUUUGUGCGUGUAUCUGGUUCGGCCUCGGCAUCCUCUUGGGGAACGUAUCUGCAAUUGAUUUUGUGGUGCGGUGUCCAAGACUUUUACUUUGAGGAAAUUAGAGUGUUCACGGCAGGCAAUCGCCUUGAAUAUAUUAGCAUGGAAUAAUAAUAUAGGCAUGAGUUCCUAUUUUGUUGGUUUCUAGGAAUUCAUGAAUGAUAAAUAGGGACACUUGGGGGCAUUCGUAUUACGACGUCAGAGGUGGAAUUCUUAGAUUGUCGUACGACGAACUACUGCGAAAGCAUUUGCCAAGGAUGUUUUCAUUGAUCAAGAACGAAAGU
Molecule: ribosomal RNA, 398 nt
Filed under: uncultured eukaryote
Lineage: Eukaryota
Description: SSU rRNA
Rfam family: Eukaryotic small subunit ribosomal RNA
Source: RNAcentral